CCUUAGUAACGGCGAGUGAAGCGGCAAAAGCUCAAAUUUGAAAUCGGCCUCCAGGUCGAGUUGUAAUUUGUAGAUUGUAUUUUUGAUUUGGUAGAAGUCUGUUGGAACACAGCGCCUUAGAGGGUGAGAGCCCCGUAAAACCUAUUCAAUUGUAAAAUACUUUCAAAGAGUCGAGUUGUUUGGGAAUGCAGCUCUAAGUGGGAGGUAAAUUCCUUCUAAAGCUAAAUAUUGGCGAGAGACCGAUAGCGAACAAGUACAGUGAUGGAAAGAUGAAAAGAACUUUGAAAAGAGAGUGAAAAAGUACGUGAAAUUGUUAAAAGGGAAGGGUACUAAAUCAGACGUGGGUGUUGUGUUCAACUUUGUCUCGGCAAAGUGUACUCGCAACAUCUAGGCCAAGGUGGGAUAGUUGGGCAGGAAAAAGCUUGAGGAAAGUGGCUCUUCGGAGUGUUAUAGCCUUUUGUAAUACUGCCUCGGCUGUCUCAGGACUGCGCAUUUUGCUAGGAUCUUGGCGUAAUGAUUUUGUACCGCCCGUCUUGAAACACGGACCAAGGAGUCUAACGUCUAUGCGAGUGUUUGGGUGUAAAACCCGUACGCGUAAUGAAAGUGAACGUAAAUAGGAGCUUUAUAGCGCACUAUUGACCGAUCCUGAUGUUUUCAGAUGGAUUUGAGUAAGAGCAUAGCUGUUGGGACCCGAAAGAUGGUGAACUAUGCCUGAAUAGGGUGAAGCCAGAGGAAACUCUGGUG
RNAcentral lists this ribosomal RNA (744 nucleotides) under Geotrichum sp. RNAcentral's name for it is "LSU rRNA". It matches the Rfam family "Eukaryotic large subunit ribosomal RNA", at positions 78 to 869 of the family's 3401-position model. The record is from RNAcentral. Lineage: Eukaryota; Fungi; Ascomycota; Dipodascomycetes; Dipodascales; Dipodascaceae.